RNAcentral lists this ribosomal RNA (776 nucleotides) under uncultured Neocallimastigales. RNAcentral's name for it is "partial large subunit ribosomal RNA". It matches the Rfam family "Eukaryotic large subunit ribosomal RNA", at positions 23 to 647 of the family's 3401-position model. The record is from RNAcentral. Lineage: Eukaryota; Fungi; Neocallimastigomycota; Neocallimastigomycetes; Neocallimastigales.
AGAGAGAGACAUGCGCGCAUAUCAAUAAGCGGAGGAAAAGAAACUAACAAGGAUUCCCCUAGUAACGGCGAGUGAAGCGGGAAGAGCUCAAAUUUGAAAUCUUAAAGGGUUUCCCUUUACGAAUUGUAGUUUAAAGAAGUGUUUUCUGUUGAGGUUUUGGUAAAAGUUCUUUGGAAUAGGACAUCAUAGAGGGUGAGAAUCCCGUAUUUGACCUUUACUUUCAACUUUGUGAUACACUUUCAAAGAGUCGGAUUGUUUGGGAAUGCAGUCCAAAAUGGGUGGUAAAUUUCAUCUAAAGCUAAAUAUUGGCGAGAGACCGAUAGCGAACAAGUACCGUGAGGGAAAGAUGAAAAGAACUUUGAAAAGAGAGUUAAACAGUACGUGAAAUUGUCAAAAGGGAAGCGUUUGACACCAGUGUUGUUUUUCUGAAAAUCAAUUAAAGAACUGUUUAUGCUAAGUUGUUUAGACUUUAUCAGCUAACUGUUUAGUUUUGAGCUUUUCUUUAAUGCACUUUUCAGUUAACAAGUCAACAUCAAUUUCUUUUGCUGUAAAAAAGCUUGAGGAAGGUGGCUUGAGAUUCGUCUUAAGUGUUUAUAGCCUCUUGCCUAUGGCAGUCGGAGAGAUUGAGGUCUGCAGCGUAGAUCCUUCGGGGCUAAAUGCAUUUGUGCUAAGUUAUAGCAUUUUAUAGACAACAUUGUUGACUAUGAUUUGUCUUGUAGCUUACUCGCUUAUGUUAUUUUACCUACGCUUAGGAUGUUGACGCAUGAGAUAUACGC